This 800-nucleotide ribosomal RNA is filed under the name uncultured bacterium. RNAcentral describes it as "bacterial SSU rRNA". It matches the Rfam family "Bacterial small subunit ribosomal RNA", at positions 8 to 800 of the family's 1533-position model. The record is from RNAcentral.
AGAGUUUGAUCCUGGCUCAGAUUGAACGCUGGCGGAAUGCUUUACACAUGCAAGUCGAACGGCAGCACGGGAGCUUGCUCCUGGUGGCGAGUGGCGAACGGGUGAGUAAUGCGUCGGAACGUACCGAGUAAUGGGGGAUAACGCAGCGAAAGUUGUGCUAAUACCGCAUACGCCCCGAGGGGGAAAGCAGGGGAUCGCAAGACCUUGCGUUAUUCGAGCGGCCGACGUCUGAUUAGCUAGUUGGUGGGGUAAUGGCCCACCAAGGCGACGAUCAGUAGCGGGUCUGAGAGGAUGAUCCGCCACACUGGGACUGAGACACGGCCCAGACUCCUACGGGAGGCAGCAGUGGGGAAUUUUGGACAAUGGGGGCAACCCUGAUCCAGCCAUUCCGCGUGAGUGAAGAAGGCCUUCGGGUUGUAAAGCUCUUUCAGCAGGAACGAAACGGUACGCUCUAACAUAGCGUGCUAAUGACGGUACCUGCAGAAGAAGCACCGGCUAACUACGUGCCAGCAGCCGCGGUAAUACGUAGGGUGCGAGCGUUAAUCGGAAUUACUGGGCGUAAAGCGUGCGCAGGCGGAUUGUUAAGCAAGAUGUGAAAUCCCCGGGCUUAACCUGGGAAUGGCAUUUUGAACUGGCAGUCUAGAGUGUGUCAGAGGGGGGUGGAAAUUCCACGUGUAGCAGUGAAAUGCGUAGAGAUGUGGAGGAACACCGAUGGCGAAGGCAGCCCCCUGGGAUAACACUGACGCUCAUGUACGAAAGCGUGGGUAGCAAACAGGAUUAGAUACCCUGGUAGUCCACGC